UACGGGGGGAGCAAGCGUUGUUCGGAUUUACUGGGCGUAAAGGGCGCGUAGGCGGCCUCCGCAAGUCAGUUGUGAAAUCUCCGAGCUUAACUCGGAAAGGUCAACUGAUACUGCGGGGCUAGAGUGCGGAAGGGGCAACUGGAAUUCUUGGUGUAGCGGUGAAAUGCGUAGAUAUCAAGAGGAACACCUGCGGCGAAGGCGGCGACCUGGGUAGGUAACUGACGCUGAGGAGCGAAAGUGUGGGGAGCGAACAGGGAUU
RNAcentral lists this ribosomal RNA (259 nucleotides) under uncultured bacterium. Its description in RNAcentral is "partial 16S ribosomal RNA". It matches the Rfam family "Bacterial small subunit ribosomal RNA", at positions 524 to 779 of the family's 1533-position model. The record is from RNAcentral.